Molecule: ribosomal RNA, 432 nt
Filed under: uncultured cyanobacterium
Lineage: Bacteria; Bacillati; Cyanobacteriota
Description: bacterial SSU rRNA
Rfam family: Bacterial small subunit ribosomal RNA
Source: RNAcentral
GAUGAACGCUGGCGGUACGCUUAACACAUGCAAGUCGAACGGGUAGCAAUACCAGUGGCGAACGGGUGAGUAAUGUAUAGGAAUCUACCUUUAGGUGGGGAAUAACUCGGGGAAACUCGAGCUAAUGCCGCAUAAUGCCCUCGGGUAAAAACUUUUGUGCCUAAAAAUGAGCCUGUAUCCAAUUAGCUAGUUGGUGGGGUAACAGCCUACCAAGGCUACGAUUGGUAGCUGGUCUGAGAGGACGACCAGCCACAGUGGAACUGAGACACGGUCCACACUCCUACGGGAGGCAGCAGUGGGGAAUUUUCCGCAAUGGGCGAAAGCCUGACGGAGCGAUACCGCGUGUCGGAUGAAGGCCCUAGGGUUGUAAACGACUGUCGGCGGGGAAGAAACAAAUGACGGUACCCGCAAAGGAAGCACCGGCUAACUCUG